CGAUUAACAAAUGCUAUAUUUCUUGAAAGAUUUAUUCAAACAAGACACAUGGGCCAAUGCAGUAUGAGUGCCUAUAGACAUUGUAGUUUGGCAGUCAAAACUUUAUUAUAUAGCAUUUUGUAUGCGUGAAAAUUCUGUUCAUAUCCCUUCAUCCCUAAAAAAACAAACAUAAAAACAAAAAAUCUGGAGAAAUUUGUCUUGAGUUACAGAGUGACGUCAGAUUGCCCAGUCUGCUUUUAUAUAUCUAUAAAAAGCCCUUAUGUAAGCUGAGUAGUCAACGAAUUUCACAGCAGACAAAUGGUAUAGGAUACAUAUAAACACAAGUAUUACAUAGCAAUCCAAGGCAGCCUAUUGCUGCCUAUUACAAAUUAUUAUGAGACGACGCAUUACUUUUUUUUUUGUCUUUGUCUUUUUUUUUUUUUUGCAGAUGCAAAAGCUGUACAAGAAACCGCUGAGUCUUCCUUUCACUUUCAGCGAAUGUGUUGGCAAAGCACUUGGAUACAAUGCAAUAUCAUUUAACAUUAAAUAUAUGAGUGCAUGUAUACCGUACAAGCUUCAAACACAUGGCAUAUAAUGUAAUUCAUCUGCUUGACGUUACAUUGUAUGGCAUGUGCUAGGUGAUUGCGAGGGGCGGGGGCAAGGGGUGCGGCCAUGAAAUCUGGAAGCUCUUCAAAAUUUUUCCGUUGGUCAAUCAUUGAAAAACACCGUACAAAAACGGACAGAAAACAAAGAAACAAUCGAACCAUACAACAUAAUCUAUAUAUUGCUCGGGAUCAUGGAGCCCAAGUAUGUCUACCAGGUUGCAUUCAGAUAACCUGCCGUAGAAUACUUGAUGAUUCUUUUAUAGAGAGGAAGUUUUACAAACAACAGUCAGUUAGCUCUGACUCGAGCGAGCAAUGCCACAGUCUGUCGUAAUCAGGAGAGAUUGAGUAAAUUCACUCUAAGCUGAUGAUCCAAAGCAGUCCCAGCAUUCUCACCGUUUUGGAUGUUUAAGCAUCAGUUAGGUGUACUCAGUUUCUCCUGAUUCAAGGCUUUUGGUCCUGCUUCAUAUCACAAAGUUGGAGACUUUGUGUUUAGGAUAUAAGUAGCGUUAUACGUCUGUGGCUCUUGUGUCUUGUUUCAGCUGUGUGUGGAUGUUGGUACAUGUAUGUCAUUUGCUUGAAGGGAGUCAUUAAGGUUCAUCCAUCGUUGAUGUAAAAACACAUCCUUCACUGUCCAUUCGCUGUCCAUUGGGAAAUUAACACUGAAAGGUGCCAUUGUUUUCCAGUACAUCAGCAAGAUUGCAGCUGUGAUACGGAUCUCACAAAAUGAACAAUUCAAGAAGCAGGCGUUCACAGCGCUCGCUGUCAGCCAUCUCCGCGAGACAUGACAGCUAACAAAAUCCGAGCAAAGCUUUCAAGUUGCCAGUCUCUUUCACUUUGCUGGUAGCCUGUCCUCAGGCUUUGCUUGUCCUGAAGGACUAACUCUGCUCCUUAAUUGCAAAUCCUGGAGCCUGUGUUGGCAUUCUGUUCAACCUCCGAGUUGUUGGGUAGCACAAGCUUCACGCCCUCUGAGGCCAGGCAGUGAGUACAAGGUCCAGUUCCUGAUUUUGUUGUUGUGCAAAUCAGAGUAAACACCAUAUUCGACUCCCAGCUACAGUCACAAAGCGUUUUUGAUAGCUGGUUGCUUGAAUGCACAGAGAUAAGACCCAGAAUGAAUGUUUUUAGACCACCCAGACAAGUCAGAAUGAAAAACAACCAUCGCGAUAUCGGCUGUGUUCGUACAGCCACGUUUCUCUUUUC
Long non-coding RNA from Astatotilapia calliptera (eastern happy), 1781 nucleotides. The record is from Ensembl. NCBI's taxonomy places the organism in Eukaryota, Metazoa, Chordata, Actinopteri, Cichliformes, Cichlidae.